This is a long non-coding RNA of Cercocebus atys (sooty mangabey), 1194 nucleotides long. RefSeq lists it as uncharacterized. NCBI's taxonomy places the organism in Eukaryota, Metazoa, Chordata, Mammalia, Primates, Cercopithecidae. The record is from RefSeq and is a predicted model, not a curated record. The transcript has 2 exons.
CUCGCCGCUCCCGCGCGGCGGCGUCACGGAGAUCGCUCUUGACUCGGACUUGUGGUCGCGAUUGGAGGAAAAAGCGCGGGCCAAGUGCGAACGAGAUGAGGCGGGGAACCCGGCCAAAGAAAGCAGCCACGCUGACGGAGAGGCCGAGGAGGAAGGGGAGAGCGAGAAGGGGGCGGGGCCUAGGAGCGCUGGGUGGCGCGCGCUCCGGCGGCUCUGGGACAGGGUCCUGGCGCCCGCGCGGCGCUGGCGGCGUCCGCUGCCUAGCAACGUGCUCUACUGUCCGGAGAUCAAGGACAUUGCCCACCUGACCCGUUGAACGUUGUAACCGAGGAACUGGGAAGCCACAGCCGAAGGAAGGUGGGAGCUGCAGCCUCGCGGGGGCUGAUAUCGAGACUACUGUGUCUCAGAUCCCAGGAUUGACAUGUGAUAAGAGAGAUGAGCCGAGGGCAGGAGGGAACGCCCUGGGAGGUGUUGAUGAUGAGUUGGGGAGGCUCCUAGACGAACUCGCCCCCAUCUACUGACUGUGCCAGUCUUACAUUUUCAGGAUGGAGUGGCCAAGGGAUGAUAUAAACAAAGCCUACGUUACUGUGGGAAGAAGACAGACUGUUUUCUUAGCUGGGACUUUGGCUUUUGUCCAGGGUGGCUCUGGUGUGUGGGAGCAACAGGUCCCGUUUUAGCAAUUCUUUGUCAAUGGUUUGAAUUUUUUUUUUUUUUAAGAUGGGAUGGGAGAGAAGAGGCUAAUUUUCGCGUCAUGUUAAUCUCACUUCUCUGGCAUGUAAGGGUGCUGGUAUGCCUGCUGUCUCUCCACUCCCAGUUCUGUGUUCCAAAAAUUGAGAUGGCUCCCUGCCUAUGACUAUGAUGAGGAGCCUUGCUUCAUUUCAGAAUCUACCUUCAGCCUGCUAGGGCAGGUAUCAGAAAUUCCAAAGGGCAUUGAUAUGAGGCACCUAAUUAGAGCCUAUCAAAGUAGGAAAGGAGAGCCAUUUGAAAGGCAUCAUAUUUCAAACUUUUGCUAUUAUCUGUGUUAUCUUUACAGUCACAGGGAACACUGGCGCUACUGAAAAGAUACUUAUACAAUUUUAAGUGUCUUUAAAAUUUGUGUCCCAUAAUGGGACAUCACCUAUUGUAUAUAUGCCAUGUAUUCUAUUUUAGAAUCCUGUAAGUAUCUUAUGACCAUAUAGUCAUAGUCAAGGACCA